UUUCCAUAAUGAGGACACUGAGUGGUGUAGCUUUUAAACCUCUCCCAAGCUUCAUAGAAAGUUUCAUUGUGUUUUUUGUGUGAAGCCUGAGAUCUCUUGUUCCUCAAUCU
Molecule: small nucleolar RNA, 110 nt
Filed under: Arabidopsis thaliana (thale cress)
Lineage: Eukaryota; Viridiplantae; Streptophyta; Magnoliopsida; Brassicales; Brassicaceae
Description: Plant small nucleolar RNA R71
Rfam family: Plant small nucleolar RNA R71
About the family: R71 is a member of the C/D box family of snoRNAs containing the C (UGAUGA) and D (CUGA) box motifs. Multiple nearly identical copies of this snoRNA have been identified in Arabidopsis, and it is thought to function as a 2'-O-ribose methylation guide for 18S ribosomal RNA.
Source: Rfam by way of RNAcentral